RNAcentral lists this ribosomal RNA (450 nucleotides) under uncultured bacterium. RNAcentral's name for it is "bacterial SSU rRNA". It matches the Rfam family "Bacterial small subunit ribosomal RNA", at positions 354 to 796 of the family's 1533-position model. The record is from RNAcentral.
GUGGGGAAUAUUGGACAAUGGGCGAAAGCCUGAUCCAGCCAUGCCGCGUGUGUGAAGAAGGUCUUCGGAUUGUAAAGCACUUUAAGUUGGGAGGAAGGGCAUUAACCUAAUACGUUAGUGUUUUGACGUUACCGACAGAAUAAGCACCGGCUAACUUCGUGCCAGCAGCCGCGGUAAUACGAAGGGUGCAAGCGUUAAUCGGAAUUAAUGGGCGUAAAGCGCGCGUAGGUGGUUCGUUAAGUUGGAUGUGAAAGCCCCGGGCUCAACCUGGGAACUGCAUCAAAAACUGGCGAGCUAGAGUACGGUAGAGGGUGGUGGAAUUUCCUGUGUAGCGGUGAAAUGCGUAGAUAUAGGAAGGAACACCAGUGGCGAAGGCGACCACCUGGACUGAUACUGACACUGAGGUGCGAAAGCGUGGGGAGCAAACAGGAUUAGAAACCCCUGUAGUCC